UUCUUCAUUGGGAGGGUUGCAACGCGCCCAACGCGCUCCCUAGCAUGCUAAACGCCUUUUAUAUUAUGUUUUAUUUAUUUAUUUUUAUCUGAACGUGCCUUGCGCGCUAUUAUGGGCACCUAGCGCCUGCAUGCACUAGUUGAAUUUUUUUAUGCGCCCAGCGUGCUUCAUGGUGCGCCAAGCGCCCUGAUCAUAGAUGCAUAGGCUCUAACACGCGCUUUGCGCGCUCGCACCUAUGCCUUAUGCGUGGCUUCUAGAAGGCGCAAUUUAUGUUAAGCGCCCGACGCACCUAAGCUUGCGCCCGACACGUGCAUGGCAGAGAGGAAUUCUGCCUCUGUGCGCCCAACGCACCUUGUGUUGUGCUCAACGUGAAUCCGUCCAUUUUGAACUGUCUUCUUAUAUGUUUUGGGGAUUCUUUUUGCAUAUUUUGUGCUCCAUUUUUGUGUUGUAUAUAUGAUGAUACUUCUACAUAUUUUUGAUGACUCACUUCUCUGAUUUUGAUGGCUUGGUUAUGUUUUUUGGCCUUGAAUUUCAGGAUGGCAACCAAGAGGCAAAGGAACCCCACUGAAGGCCAAAAUAACAAGCCUGUAAAGAGAAAGGAGAAGGUUUAUUCUGAUCGCUUUCUCAGAAAGCAUCAUGAAAAGUAAUUCCCUUCCAUGGAGCCAAGGAAAUUAUUGAUGGAGAGGAAGGUGUCCCUCAAAUCAGAGGAUGGCCAGGACUUUGUGAUUGAGUACACCAAGAGGAGGUGGGACAGGUUGGGUUCUUAUCCAUAACUAGCCAAUAUUGCUAUCAUUCGUGAGUUCUAUGCGAACGCCGUGACCAUUGAUGAUGAUGCCCCAAUCAGCUACACCAGCUAUGUGAGGGGUCAUUCUGUUUCCUUUUCUCCUACCAGGAUCAACGAUUUUCUUCUCACUACUUUAGAGCUUGGACAACACUGUCCUAUAUCCUGUUCAACAUCCUCUCAGGGAAGAGAAUAAAUUUGGGAGCUCUCAUCGUGGAGGAGAUUCAGAGUUGUGCUGAUUCUAUGAUUGGUAAUGCCAAGCUAGGGCACCCUUCGCUGAUCACCCAUCUAUGCAAGAGAGUUGGAGUUGACACAUCUAUGGGCCAUUUGAGUGACCGUGCUAGUCUAUAGAUGCCCGAUAUGUUAUCGCUCAUUGUUAGUUGACCCCUCUUGCCUAUGAAAGGGGAGCACCACAGGCACCAACUACUGCACCAUAGGUCGAGGCACCAGAGCUACCCCCUCUUGAGCAUUAUGUUCCUGAGGCCCCAUUACAACAAGUGGUAGCAAUUAGCCCUGUUGUUUUUGAUACAACCAUUCAGAUGAUUUUUCAUGCACAAUGAAUGAUGAUGGACACUAUUAGGGCCCAUGUUGCUGCCACUACUCCUCAUCUUCAGUUUCUCUAUUCUAUGGCAAAGUUUGAUGUUGCUACUACUUGACUUGGGGUCCAGGCUAUUUCUAGAGGGGCAGGAGGAGAGCUAACAACAACUGAUGGAGAUAAAGCAACUGAUAUAGGACCAGAUGCUAGUAUAAGACUAGAGGUGCAGCCUGAUGCGAAGGCUAAGAGAGAGGUUGCCAGAGACUAUUUCUGCUGAUAUUGUGGAUCCAAUGCUUCAAAGGUUUGAGGAGACCAUCAAAGUAGAGUCCUUAGAUAUGUUUAGGUCCUUAGGAGCAUCUGUUAGAGUUGAUGAAGAGAUACCCAUCGCUGUUGACAUUGCUACUGUUGAUGCUAUGAUUGAUGAUGAGGCCAUGGGAUCCUCUAAGUUGGAGUUCAACUGAUGAUAUCAGCACUUAAGGAGAUGAGUAGUCACAUUUUGCUGCAACACUUAUGUUUUUUUUUUGGAUAUCUUGUUUACUUUUCUGUUUUUACUUAUUUUUUUACUAUUACCAUUACACUUUACCUUCUUUUAUGCACCGUACUUUCUCCUAUAUUAUAGUUACUUUGGAUACAUCGACAAUUUACUUGAGAUUGGUGUUGCAUUUCAUCAUGAGUCUGUUGUGUUCUGUUCUUUCAAAACCUGACAUCUUUUGAGUUGAUGACAUAUCUCUAUUGAACUGAUAAUUGUGGUUGUGCUCAUGCUUUGGAGGGUAUGGUUGCAAGUGCUUGUUUUAAUUUUGAUUAAGGAUUGUGGAAAGGUAGGAUAACGUGUGAAUUACAUAAAUUAAAUUGAGUGAGGUUAAGAGCUUUAGAGUUUAUUCUUGUGAGAACUAUUCUUUUGAUACUCAAUUGACUUUGCUUGAGUUUCUGUGUUGAGAGCUUUGCUUGCAUGUGUAUAGAUGAUCAAGGCCAUGUUUCUUUUUAGUUCUAGGUCGUUUGAGCCAAAAAGCCAACUUUUUUUUUUUGAAAAUAUUAACCGUUGAAAACCUUUUUAAGCUUAACAUGAUUCUUUCUUUCUUAGAACCCUAAGCUUUAUGAUGAAAUCAAUUGAACACCCCACUUUGAGCUUGAGAGCAAGUGGUAAGGUCAUUAUUGUGUGGUUCAAGUUUGGGGCAAUUCACUUUUGGGGUGAGCAUAUAAUAAAAGGAGAAGGCUUUGAUUCAUUCUUUGGCCAUGAAAAAAAAAAUUGAAAAGUUAUUCAAAAAAAACUGAAUCAAAUGAAAAUAAAUAAAAGGAAAAAGGAAACAUUAGAGUCGUGUGUUACUGGAUCAAAACAUUAGUUGGAAA
This is a non-coding RNA of Cajanus cajan (pigeon pea), 2663 nucleotides long. Lineage: Eukaryota; Viridiplantae; Streptophyta; Magnoliopsida; Fabales; Fabaceae. The record is from RefSeq and is a predicted model, not a curated record.